Molecule: long non-coding RNA, 13345 nt
Filed under: Nicotiana tabacum (common tobacco)
Lineage: Eukaryota; Viridiplantae; Streptophyta; Magnoliopsida; Solanales; Solanaceae
Description: long non-coding RNA (NTAB_LNC016027)
Source: RNAcentral
AGUUUUAUUGGAGAGGAUGUAUGAGAAUGUUCUGGAGAAUACUAUAUAUUCUCAUCUUUCAUAUUUGAGAAAGGGAGUUCUUUUGGGAGUAUUUUUCGGAGAAAAUAUAGAAAGGGCUAGGGUUUUAGAUAAAGGGGGAGUUUUCUUCUCUAAUUUUGGAUCUUCUUUUAAAUUCCAGAAAAGAAAAUAAUCGUUUCUUAUUUUUGGUUUUCAGACUUCUUUAAUUUUUUUUUUAGGUUGUUUCAAGCUUGAGAAAAAUACAAAAAAAAAAUGGGUUUUUUUAAGUUAGAAAUUGAGAUUUCAGAGGCUAAAAUAUAGGUCUAUUUCUUCCUCUUUCAAUUAUGGAUUUGAGUUUUUUAAACCAAAAAUAGAGUUUGAUUAAAGUUUGGUUUCGAGUUCGGCGUGAGGUUUCGAGGUGCCGAUUCGAGUUCCUGCAUGAGGUUGCAGUUAGAGGUUCAUGUCCGAAAUUUCAUUCAAUUUUGGUUGCUAUUUUCUUGGUCUGAGAUUUGGAGUUGGAGCUCUGUACCUACUGAUUUCUCAUACCUUAAAGGAAAGCACAUUUCAGGUCCAUCUUUUCCCUUAUCGUUUCUUUCCUUAGUAUUGAUUCAUGCUUGAAAGAGAUAUUCGAUACUCUGCGUCAUUGCUUGAUGCCCUGUUUUGUUGUUUGACGUUUUAUCAUGUUUUGUCCUAUGGUUUGAGUGCUUUGUUUUAAUUGUGGUGCUAUGGCAUGUUAUUUCAUUUUGAUUUUGGUUUCAAGCAGUUAGUAAGGUCCUCAUAAUGUAUUCAAUUAAUUAGAGAAAUGAUUUGGGUUGUUUCAUUUAAAGAUAAAAUCUACAUCAUGCAUCAAACUUUUCCUUGUUCUCUUUUCCUGAAAAUCAAAUGCCGAAGUUUUUUAUUUCUAGCUAUAUUUGGGACUACUGUUGGCGACAUCUAUGUUGGUGGAUUCUUAUUUAAAUGAAUAGCUUCUUCUGUGGAUUCUUAAAAGGUUAUAAUAAUCACAUGAACAUGAACCUUAGGCUCUUUCAAAUGAUGGUUUGUUGGAAAGGGAUAUUGGAAAAGUUCUGUUAGUCGAGGGAUAAUCUUCCAUGUCUUGAAAAUUAUUUUUCUUGCUAGAUUUCUUGUGUUGUUGAAUCUUAAAAUUUUAAGUGUGUCGUGCAUGGUAUUAAGGAUCACAUUAACUCUCUUUGGAUACUACUUGUUUGGUGAUUAAUUUCAAUAAAUUUCCAUCUUCUGUGCAAUUGUAGUUUGUCAAGUUCGUAUGUUUAAGUGGAAAUGUGGCUAGGUUGAUGGGAUAUUUUGCUCUUAUCCUACUUUGAAUUGCCAUUUUUAAUUUUAUUAUUAUUAUUAUUAUUAUUUUCUCCUAUUCCGUUGUUACUAUAUUUUGUUUCUUCUAUAUGUUUGGUUAUUUGAUACUAUCUUGGUAUAAAUGGAUGGUUUGAAUGAUUGUUGGACCUCGGGGAGUGGGGAAUACCCAAGCCCGUUAGUGAUUAAUUUCACUCUGCUUUCUUAUUAUUUUAUUUUGUUACCCCGUCACUUAACCGCAGGAGUAUGUUUUAGGCCGACCACUUGGGUAGGCGAUGUUAGGAUGCUUUAUUAGUUUAGGUGGAAGAUCAUUCUCAUAGUUAAAUUUAUCUGGGGAAUGCCCCGAAGAACUUGUAAAUAUAUUCAAUUCGGGGACUGCCCUGUAAUACAUGUAUUGGGAGGCCUUGACGAGCAUCGUGGAGAAGCCAUAGUGUAGGUUAGUUUAGGAUUUCUUUUCUUUUCUUUACAUUUUUAUUUAUUAGGUGGGAACAAUCGUGAGCCUUUUUGGUGUUUAUUCUCGUGUUUUGUGUGUCCCUACCUCAAUCUGAGUCUUCUUUAAAAACCAACUAGAUCGAGUUUGCAAUCGUGUUUUUCACGGCAUUCGAGGAAUGCCUGACACUUUCUCUCCGAGUCAAAUGAAUGCCCUUUCUCAGAAUCUCUGGGGCUUUUGGUUUUAGAGUUCAACGUGUUUUGAACGAAAAUUUAUUUUUAAAUGGAGACCUGGCACACCACAACCAAAUAUCAGGUGGCCACUCUAAAUAAUCUUUUAAAACACAAUUUCAUCACUUUCAAUUUUCAAAACCCUUUCAAGCUUUGCAAAACCUUUUUAUUAUUUUUAAGUGGGUUCAGUGAGGUGAAAAAAAGGAUGUGACAACUUUAGCAACUCUGCUGGGGAGUUGCAGGUUCGAGAUGAUACUACGAUCUUGCCGACUUUUUAGAAUAUUCUUUUUUUAGGAAAAUAUACCACUGGGCUGAUUGCCUAGAGGUAUUUUUAUUAAGAUAAUAAAAUAUAAAAUAACACGUGUCUGGAGGUCUUACAAAAUGUAAGUGCAUAAAAAAUGAAAGUACAUGAAAUAUAAUAUCAAAGUCUUGUGUGACACAAUCCUUUGAUAGUAUAAAAAGAUCUAAUAACCAUAAAUCUUGAAUCAACCUAACUGACUUCAACUUGCAACCCCUCUUUAAAAAGGAUUGCAUUCUCUUUGUUUGGAUCUAGGUAGUUGCACUUGGUGUCUUGGUCAAAUGGGAUCUUCAUGUGAUGUCUAUAACUGGUAUCUAAACUAGAACAUGACUACUUGUUCCAAAAUUUGCACGAAAUGCAUUCUAAGAUACCUGUCCAGUUCAAGGCAGAAGGGAUGAUGUUGCAAAUUUGUCGCCACAUUGCGUGAUCAUACCUAGACAAUCUUGCAACAAACCUUUUAUAUUUAGGUUCCUUAUAUGUAGUAGAUGCAUCAUGUGCAUGGGAGCUCCACCAAUACUCAAUAAAUUUCCCGCCCAAAGUUGUACACCCCCAUUGCCAAGUUUACUUAAUGUGGGCAGUAGACAAUCCUUGCGCAUAACAUUAGCUCUUGAGACUUGAUGGAAUCUGUGUUUCUUACGUUAUGUGAUCCUAAAGAAGUGGUAGAUGCAAAGGGAUAUGCAUUUCCUAGUGUAACUCUUCCCAUUUCCUCCACAUACUAAACAUGGUAAUGGAUCACGUAGCAUAGGCUUGUGCUCAACCUUCUCUUUGAAUUUUUGAUAGAAUAAUCGGGCUCACCUAUAUAGAGGUUGAGUAUCAAAGAUACUAAUACCACACUACUAGGUUUGGCCAAAACAUAGAGCCAAACCCCCUACUAGGUUAUACCUAUAGGGGUUGAGUAUCAAAUCCUUCCUCUUCUCCUCCCUUAGUAUUUGAGUUGGAAGGGUCAUGUUUUCUCCUUCCCCUAUCAUUUGCCUCAUUCCUCCAUAAUACUUUCUCCUCCUCUUCUUCAUUAUUAUAAUCUCCCCUUCACUCUCCAUAUCAAUUAGUUUCUUCAUCAAUUAGCAUUUGGCUUGGCAACUCUUACCCACAAGUAUGGUAUUUGAAGUUUGUCAUUAUUCAAUAUCUUUAUCCCUUGUAUAUCUAGUUCCCAAAAUGAGUGUACCUGUUGUAUAUGUUGCUAGUCCAAGGUAUGAUCAGCUAACUUGUUGCCUUUAUUCAUUACAUGAGCUAGCUGGAAUGCAUCCCUAAAUAAUAAUGAUUUGAUUUCAUCUACAUGGUUUGCUAUGUUCCAAGGUGGUUCCCAAGUAUCAUCCAACACAUUCUUCAUAAGUAGAGAAUCUGUUUCAAUUAUGCAUGGAGGUAAUGACAUUUGAAUAAUGUACCUUGGGGCCUCCAGAAUUGGUUAUGCUUCAGCUAUAUUGUUUGUUGCUUCCUCUACUGCAUCUGUCUGGGCAUAGAUGAGGUCCCCUAUUUCAUCCCUUAUACAAAAAAUAUAUGAAGCUCCUCCACUGUCUCAUCUACAAGCCGUAUCCAUUGCAUUUUAUCCAACCCACAGGAGGUAAUUGCCACAUAACCUUUGUAUAGCUCAGCUUUGGAACAUGAUGGCUUACUUUUUAUGUAGGUCAGGCCAAUUUGCUGCGACACCCUUGAUGCUUGGUUUCCUCACUUUCACCAGCAUUUGGAUGGAGUUUGAAAUAUGAUAAAUCAGCCUAUUAAAAGAUACAAUUUUCCCAAUAUUUCUAGAGUUCAUCCUCUUCCAUGAGUGCCAGACAAUCAAGCUUGGAAUUACUUGAUAUAUUUCCUUCAAACUUGUAUUUCCUGCUUUGUUCCACCAUUCAUUUAUCAAUUGUACCAGCUUCUUCCCUUGUGUUUUGAUGCCAACAGGUGCACCAAAAUAAUUCCACACAAACCUAGCAGCUAGAGAUGUCAACAAGACAUGAGGUAAUGCUUUUUCUCUAGGGUGCCUACGACGCGAACAUCUUGAAGUUCUAAUGUACCCCAUCCUUUGGAACAAUCAUCCAAAGGUAGUUUUGCUUUCCAUAAUCUCCACAUGAAGAAGCUAACUUUGAAAGGCAGUCCCUUCACCUAAAAGAACUUGUAUAGCUUGCUCUCAUCUCUUCUCUUCCUUAUGUAUUGCCAAGCAGACUUCCGUGUAAAUUGGCCAUCAUUUCUGGCUUCCACCAGGGCUUAUCCUUCAUUGAGUUAUGUGUAGGAGGUGUGAUCAUCUCUAAGAUAUGGUUAGCUAACUCCUCAGGCAAUAGCUACCUCAACAACACUUCAUUCCAUGUCCCAUUCUCCACCACCUCAUCUACAUGUUUUAUGGAUUCAUCACACCAAUGAUCUGGACAUGAAGCAUGGUGAAGAGCACCAAGUCCAGUCCAAUUAGCAUAUCAGAAGUAAAAGUUUCCAUUCUUCAACUGCCACCACACUUGAUGCACCACCUCCUCUCUCAUUUCUCCCAAGGAACUAGCUCCUCAUUAAUCUUCUUGCAGUAUUUUUUACUCAUAAAUAUAGACCAUAGUGUAUCUUUUGUUGUAUAGUUCCACCAUAACUUGGCAAAUAAUGCCUUAGCCACAUCAUGUAAGGAUAUGAAACCAAGAUUUCCUUCAUUUUUAGGCGGACACAAAUUGUCCCAUGAAGCCCAAUGUCUAGCCUUUUGAGUUGCUCUAGUAGAACCUAGAAAACAUCUUGUGUAAAUGAUUGAUCACAUAUGCUGGUGGGUUCACAGCUGACAAGAGAUCAAUUGGCACGCUUUCAAGCACAUGAGAAAUCAAAACUUCCCUGCCACCAAUUAAUAAUAACUUACCUUUUCAUGAUGAUAGCCUCUCCUGAACUUUGAAGAGGAUGCCCUUGUAGAAAUCUUUCUUCCUCCUGUUGUAGGAUAUAAGGCAUCCCAAAUAUGUGAAUGGGAAGGGAUUUUUUUUAAAUUAUGUGAUCAAAUGGAUUGUGUUAGCUUUAUCUGCAAGCACACUUUCACGUGUAUUAAAGGAGGACUUUUCCUUGUUGAUCUUCAGACCUGAAGCUGCCUCAUACUCCUCUAAUACAUUCAUGGUAAGCUGCAGUACCCCAUAGUGAGAAGAACAAAAAAUAAUGGUGUCAUCUGCAUAGGAUAAAUAGUUGAUAUUUUGACUCCACUUUGGCAUACCAAAUCCUAUGAAGUCAGGAUUAUCAAACAAGGCAUCCAAGGCUUUUCCAAGUACUUCAGCUGCUAAAAUGAACAAUGAAGUAGAAAGAGGAUCUCCUUGCUUAACUCCAUUUGAUGAUUUAAAGAAACCAUUUGCGUGCCCAUUCAAGAGAACAGAGUACCAAUUGUCGAACACUAGCCUAAAGAUCAUGUCAAUGAACACCUCUCCAAACCCCAUUCGCCUAAGCACCUUUGUCAAAAACAAUCAUGAGACUCUGUCAUAUGCCUUUGCUAUGUCCAAUUUGAUAACAACAUUACAUGGCUUUCCUCUCAAGAUAAUGUUAGUUAUGAUCUCUUGAGUUAAUAAUAUAUUGCCCACAAUGCUCCUUCCUUUGACAAAACCAGCAUGAUUGGGAGAUAUUAAAGAAGGUAGUAGAUCUACUAAUCUCUCAUGAACAACUCUGGAUAUGAUUUUGUCAAUGUUACAGGAAAGUAGGAGGGGAGCAUGGUCUGAACCAUACAUGAUCAGAUGCUCUACUUCAAGUGUUGGGAAAAGGUCAAUUAACUGUUGAUUUGCAAAGUAUCUAUCAAGCCUCUUAAUUAUGUAGUAAAUAUCAAAUCUACAUUCUACCAAGUGUACAAAAUCCCCUUGAAGCCCAUGUCAUAUAAUGCAUAUGUAUCUACACAAUGUGCAAAGUCUUCUACUUCACUUAAAUAAACAGGCAGUCCCCCAUAUUUCUCUUCCUCAGAUAGAAUCACAUUGAAAUCUCCUCUAACAAGCCAAGGAGAUUACAUAUCUGAUGCUAAAUGAUGCAUUGAAUCCCACAGUUCAAUUCUUUCUAUAGCAUCACCUUUGGCAUAGACUAAUGUCAAAUAUAAUUCCUUGUUCAGAUUUCUGUGAAAUAACUUAAUUAUCAUUUGUUAUUCCAGGUUCAUCACAAUGUCAACAUCUAUAUCUUCAUCCAAAAAAUCCUAUAUCUUACCAUUCAUAUUAGCAUAAGCAGAAUGAAUCCCCAGCUUCCUUUUAUACUCCUCUAGCUUAUUGAUAUCUUGCCAAGGUUCCAUCAAACCUAUCAAAUAGAAGUUGUAGUUUCUAUGUAGGUUAACCAACCUAUUGAAAGUUUUUUAUGUUUUAAUCGACCUCACAUUCCAGACUAGAGCAUUAUCCAUAUGAUUAUUUGGAAGUAGAGACCAAAGUCCUCUUUGGUUGCACUCUUUGAGGUACACUGCCCUUAAUGUCUUUCUUUUGUUUCCUUGCAGGCUUUCCAGUUGACUUCUUCAUGUCCACACUCUUAGGUAAUAUAUCUCCAGCUCUGGCUACUUGUUGGAAGUUUGUAGUUGUUGAAUCUUCCUCAAUAUCUUCGUUUAUAUCUUCUUGAUCUUCCUUGUUAUCACCUAUCACUUAAGGAGCUAACAAGUUUGGUUCAUGGUUUUUGGCAAUCAUCCUAAGCUCAUUUUGGCCCCUGUUGUUAAUGAGAACUCCCUUUGUCAAUAAGCCACUGGUAACACUAAAUGUUUUCCCAGCUAACAGUCCAGGAUCUUUAAUUGUUGAUGUAUCAAUUUGAAUGGCAUUGUUGUUAUGCCGAGUUUCAUAAAUUUUUGUAGUGACAUGCAACUCAACUUGAUCAUGGGCCCUAUAUGUAGAUUCCUUCCCCACCCCAUCAUUCAACUCCUUUACACUCAUAGCCUCCUGAAUUGCUUUGAAUUGCAUUGUAUACAUAUCUCCCAGAUUAGGGUUUCCAGAAAUCACUAUAUCCAGUUGCCCAGAUUUUACUAUUCCAUUGAGUUAAGUAGUCUUGCCUUGAGCUAUUUGUUAAUUUUCCAUCAUUGUAUCAUUAAAGACAUUAACAUCUACCUGGUCAACCUUUUCCUUCCCCAAAAUCUCCACCGGAACCACUUUAGAUUGAUCAAAAUUCUGAACAGUUUCUCUAGAAGUUACGGUUCCAUUGGUUUUCUUCUUAGCUGAGGCUUCUCCAGCUUAUCCAAUUGCAUUACCAUCUUCCUUAUAAGUUCCUUGACCUCUUCCAAUCAUCAGAAUAGUUAAUGAUCGAUUAUCCCCUUCUCCACCCUCAACCCUAAUUUCAGAUAUUCUAGGGUUUACUGUAGAUAGUGGGCUCACAGUUGAUGCUUUUUUCUCAAUCAUGAUGCCUCUUUAUUCCUUGCUUUUUGUACUACUAUUUGUCAUAUUUUCAACCUCCAUGAUCUUAAUUUCAUCACUCCAUAACCUUCUAUAAGAAUUGACAUCAGUAUUAGCUUCAUUCCCCUUUGAAUCAUCAUAGGUUUGCAAUGAGACUUCAUGACAAGAAUGAUUCAAUAUAAUAUACAUAUCUCUCAGUUCCUCCUUACUCAUUCCAAAUCUCCUAUGAACCCACUCAAUUGUGGAUUCUUUUUUGUUUGCCUCCUCAAUCCCCAUCCCAACAUCACUAGGGCUAGGAAUUUGAUUUUAUGGAUUUUAAACUCCUGCCUUUUUUGGAGUACCUUUCCCAGUAGAGGUAGGAUUCACCUUUUUUGCUUCAACCUUCUCCUUGUUUAACACCUUUUAUACUGAUUCCUUCUUUAUUUGUUUUUGAACUUCAAUAUCACAUUCUUCUAUGAAUGCAAACUUAUUACUAGUUUGCACUGGAGCAUUAGAUUUUUCCUUUCCGACAUCAUUAGAUUUUAAUCCUUUCCGACAUCAUUAGAUAUUCUAGUUAACUCCUUGCCUUUCUUCUCCUUUAAUUCUUGAGAGUUCGUAACAUCUCCAUUCCCAGCCUCUUCAAUUAUAUAACCUCUACUGUCCCUUUGAUAUUUAUUUUUCCUUCUUUGUAUCAACUCAUUCCUUGUAGCAUUUGGCAUUGUCUUGCCCAGUAUUUUCCCACUUGUUAUGACCUUCGUAGAAGCUGAAACAGUUCCAACAACAUCACUUUGCACAAUAAUAUUCUUCUUAUUGCCUUUAUCACCAUCUUCUUCAUUAAAUUUUUUGUGAAGCUCUGGAUGAAUCACCUUGCAUUCACUCUCAUUAUGGCCUUGUUUCUUGCAAAUUUUACAGUAUUUAGGCAUGUAAUCUUACUUGAUCUUUACCCAUUUAGAUUCCUCAGGACCAGUUUCAUUUUCCUCUUCAAUGAUCUUAAUCCUUUGAGGCAGCGUUGCUAACAAAUUCACCUCUACUUGACCUUAGCACAACUAGGUCUUGUGCCAUUUUGAGUGGCCAAAUCAAUAUGAAGAGACCUUCCAACUACAUUAGCUAAUGAAAACACAAAUUCCUUACCAAGAAAAUUCGAAGGAGGGCCUAGAAAUGAUAUCCAAGCAAUUGCAAUGGGAGUUUCCUCGUCAGGUUUCCACCAUCGGCUCCUUCUAGUACAUUUCAUCUGCCAAAAAUCAUCUUAAGCCUUUAAAUAAAAGGCUAGUUUGGACAACAAAUGAACGUAAUCCACCAUUAAUGACAGCUUGAUCAAAACAUGUGUAUCCUCAAUCAAACUUACUGAGCAUUGGCCUUUUAAUUCAUAUUAAAUUGAGAUAACCUUCCUUAACUCCUGUAUUACUAGUUUUCCAUAGGAAAACUUGCCCAGAACUACAAGAUGCAAUACUUGUUGCAUUAUUGAUUGCUUAACUUUUGUUUUCUUCUAUCGCACCAUUGGUUCCCUAUAUAGGUAUUCAACAGGCUUUAGUUUUAGAGCGGCUACGUGCAUGAGGGCAUUUAAUUCUUGAGGCUGUAACAGUUUUGCGUCGUUAGGGAUUGAAGUAGGGUUUGUAGGUGUUUGGGAAGGCUGUUUAUGGUUUUUGGACGACUGACCAUCCUCAGAAGGAGGCUGGCCGGUGGCAUGAGUAGUCAUGAAAGAUGGGGUUUAGGCGUUCAGCGUAGGGUUUUUCAUGAGAGAGAAGAGAGGUUUUUUGCAUUUUAGAAUAUUCGGUUGAGGUUCUUAUGUUUUAUUUUUGUUUGAUUUGUUUGACUUUUAUUUUGUUUAUGUUGUUUUAUUAUUUACUAGUUGUUUAUGUGUUUACAGUUUUUUUGUUAUGUGUUUAUUGCUUUAUAACUUUUAUCAUUUGCAUAACCAUGGGUCUUCUUUCUGCAACAAGUCUUUUGGAGUACAUUUGAGUGUACACGGACUUUUGUGAGUCAUCCGUGUAUUUAGGGGGUGGCGUGGGAGCGUGGAGUCUACUGAUAUCUAGAGCAGCUACCAUCGACCACGUGUCGCCCCGAAUUACCUUGUCUAGUGAAUCCUAAACGUAGAUCAGCCUUUAGGUCAUACUUAUUUGCAUCAUGUCAUUUAGACCUAGCGGGGCUCGGUCCCAGGAACCGUGUCCCAUUGAAAGAGGCCUGUCCAGUUAUGUCAAAAUGGGCCCAUGGCCCAAAAAUACAUCUAAACAUCCAUAUGUGCUGCAUGUUGCAUACAUUUACGGUAAAUAGGUCAUUUGGCAGACCAAUGAGAGAGAAAAGAGGGUGAAGUAUAAAAUGAAGCAAGUAGGGCCCAUCCAUAUUUUUCUUUCAUAGUUUUCCAAAAAAAUUAAAAAAGAAAGAGAGAAAAAGAUAAUCCAAAAGAUUUUACAUUUUUCAAAAAAGACAAAAAUUAUGUUCUCCAAAUCAGUUGAUUUUUUCCAAAUUCUCUCCAUAUCCAAUCAUCCCGAACUAUGCGUACCUGAUUCUAAUCAUUCGGGGCGGGAUACGUAGGCAAACCAUAUAGGGUCCGGUCUUCCUAGUAGGUCUUACGUUUUUGGCUUCAGAGGUCGUAGCCAAAUUUUAGUGACCUGACCGGUAAUUUUGAGCUUUAGCACGUUCUUCGGUGGUUUGAGGCCAUGAGUAGCUUCACUUAAGGUAUUAUGACUUGCACGCAUGGUCGUAAAUGAAUUUCGGGAAGUUCGGAGUUGAUUUAGAAAGAAAAUUCUCAAUUCGGAAGUUUUAAGGUGAAAGAAUGGACUAAGAUUGAAUUUUUGAGUAAACGACCUCGAAAUUGGGAUUUGAAGGUUCCAACAGAUUCGUAUGAUGAUUUCGGACAUAGGCAUAUGUCCGAAUAGGGUUUUGAAAGACCCGGGAACAUUUCGGCACCUAUUGUAGUAGUUGGCAUUUUUGAAAAAAUUUCAUAAGUUUGGGUUGAAGUGCAUUUUAGUGUUAUCGAUGUCCGUUUGGGAUUCUGAGUCUGGUAAUAGCUCCGUAUGGUGAUUCUGGUGUUGGAAGCACGAUCGUAAGUGAAUUCGGAGGUCCGUGGGUCAUUUUGGAGUCAUUUGGCUAAAGAUAGAAAUUUGAAGGUUUUUGAGGAGUUUGACCGGAAGUGGACUUUUUGAUAUCGGGGUCGGAUUCUGAUUCUGGAAGUUGAAGUAAGUCUGUAAUGUCGAAUAUCACUUGUGUGCAAAAUUUGAGGUCAAUCGGACGUGAUUUGAUAGGUUUCAGCAUCGAAUAUAGAAGUUUGAAAUUCUAAAGUUCAUUAAGCUUGGAUUGAAGUGCGAUUCAUGGUUUUAGCGUUAUUUGAUGUGAUUUGAGGCUUCGACUAAGUCCUAAUACGUUUUGAGACUUGGUAUGUUCGGACGGGGUCCCAAGGGGCUCGGGUGAGUUUCAGACCAUUUUUAGCUGCUGGUUUUUGGCUAUAGCAGUGUGCUACGCGAUCGCGGGGAAUUGGUCUCGAUCGCGAAGAGCAAAAUGGGAGAAAAUGGCAAGUGAUUCACGAUCGUGGAAGGGCCUUCGCAAUCAUGUAGAGGAAAGUUUCUGCUGCACUGACCUGACUUUGGGAGCAUGUAUCUCGCAAUCUAUAAGGAACUUGGAGAUAAUCCAAAAAUGAAAGUUGUAGCCCUUUGUGCCUAGUUUUUGGAAAAUUAAACCAUUUGGUAUUUGGAGUUGUGUAAAAACGUCAUGAGUGGUACAUUAUAGCCUAUCCGGGAAGAGUUUAGAAAUCGCGAAGAAGAAAUUUGUGUUGCAUGGGGCUGAUUUUGGAAGCUUAUAUCUCGUAAUCUAUAAGGAGAUGAGCAAAGCAUGAAAGUUAUAGUCCCUGGAGUCUAGUUUUCAAAAAUUUAUGGCCAUUAUACUAGAGACUAUCCGGAAGAGCUGGGCACUUGUUCUUCGCAAUCGCGAAGGGCAAAUUUUGGGCUGAAAAAUGUUGUGCUUCGUGAUAGCGAAGCAUUUUCUGCGAUUGCGAAGAGUAAAUACUUGGGCAGAAGCUAUAUUUCGAGGUUUAGGCCAUUUUUAUCAUAUUUGGAGCUAUGGAACUCAGAUUGAUGCGAUUUUUGAGACGAUUUUCACCAUAUGGAUUGGGAUAAAUGUUCUAUAUCCGAAAGUAAUUACGCUUCAUGAUUCUAUGGUUAUAUUCAUCAUUUAUUUCGGAUUUAAAUGAAAGAAAUCAAGUAUUUUUGUAAAACUUUUNNNNNNNNNNNNNNNNNNNNNNNNNGUGGGCCUGAGGGUGAUUUUGUCAACUUUUCGAGCGGAGUUAGGAAUUUAUCUAAAUUGAAUAGUUGUGAGUAUUAGUGCAUAUAUUUAUGGAUUUUCUCAUUUAUUGGCUAGUUUUGGAGCGUUGUGCAUCGAUUUAAGCCGUCGGAAGGGCUUGGAAGCCGUUUAUGGAACUUCGGAGUGAGGUAAGUCUCCUUUCUAACCUUGUAAGAGGGAAUUAAGCCCAUAAGUGAACUAAAUUAUUAUCUCCUUCUAUUUGAGGGGGGAUACGUACGCACGAGGUGCCGAGAGUCCGUACGUAGCUACUAGCUAUGCCCAUGUCCAGGUAGUUUAGGCUUACAUCAUGCUUUGUUGAUAUUGUUGUUAAUUCAUGUUAUUGUUGUCUUGAGAAGAAACAAGAUUAGGGUUGCAUAAUAAUUGUGUUGAAAGGAAUAUGAAUUGGGGAAUUUAAGAUUUUUAAGGGUUUCCAUGAAACUUCGUAUUUUCGAAAGAAUUGAGAAAUAUUAUAAUGACUUAAGAAAUCUAUGUGUGACCGCGUCGCAUGUGCAUUUCGCGAGUGGGGAAAAUCUCUUUAAAAGCUUCAUGUUGAAUUGUCCUUAUUUUUAAAGGAAUCAAGAAAAGGAUUUUGAUUUAUUAAUAAAUUAUAUUUGGUCGCGUCGCAUGUAUGAUUCGCGAGCGGGGAAAUUCCGUAAAUUAUAUUUGACCGCGUCGCACGUAUGAUUCACGAGCGGGGUAUUUCCUUCUACUACUCUUAUGGGAUCGGGCCACUCGCCUUGGCAGGAUUUAUGUACCACACUCUCAUGAGAGCAUGCAGUUUGCCUCAGCAGAUUAAUAGAUGCAUCUAUGGUUCGCGCCGCUCGACCCUCGGCAGUGUACAUUUUACUUUUAUGUUGGAUCGGGUCGUACGCCUCAGCAGUUAUAUAUAUAUAUAUAUAUAUAUACACACACACACAUCAUUCUUAUAGAACUUGCGUGUAACAUUUGGCUAGAAGCCAGGGUAUCUGAGGAUCUUUCCCUGAUUUGAAUUAUGACAACCAUUUUAUGAUAGUCACUAUAUCUUCAUAUAAAUGCUCUGGUUACGAAGGGAACGUGCUAGUUGAGAGCUCGAGUAUAAUUGUAAAGAAGAGAAUUGUACCACAUACUUUAUACAUGUUUAUUUCAUAUGUUUACUCUGCUUCAUAUUUAUUCACUUCUUUACUGUAUUUGAAAUUAUUGGACCACUAGUAAGUGUCGAAGUCGACCUCUUGUCACUACUUCUUCGAGAUUAGACGGGAUACUUACGGGGUACACGUUAUUUUUGUACUCAUACUACACUUGCUGUGCAUUUUUGUUGCAUAGGCACAUGUAUGACUAGUGGCCUAGUCAGGCGCAAUGACAUGUUUGAUAUGGAGACUUAGUUGAGUUGCACCUCUCGAGACGACCCACAGCUGGCAGAGUCUUCUUCAGAGUACUGUAUUGUAUUUUUCCUUCUUUCCAAUUUGUAUUCCGGACAGUUAUUGUAUUACAUUAUUUCUUAGAAAUUGCUCAUGCACUUGUGACACCGGGUUUUGGGUUGUCAAUGGGAUUAUUCAGUGUUAAAAUUUGUUAAAGACAUCAUUCUUUAUUCAGU